UACGGAGGGUGCAAGCGUUAAUCGGAAUUACUGGGCGUAAAGGGUGCGUAGGUGGUUUGAUAAGUCAUAUGUAGAAUCCCUGGGCUCAACCUGGGAAUGUCGUGUGAUACUGUUGGACUAGAGUAUGGGAGAGGGCAGUGGAAUUUCCGGUGUAGCGGUGAAAUGCCUAGAUAUCGGAAGGAACACCGGUGGCGAAGGCGGCUGCCUGGCCUGAUACUGACACUGAGGCGCGAAAGCUAGGGGAGCAAACAGG
Molecule: ribosomal RNA, 253 nt
Filed under: uncultured bacterium
Lineage: Bacteria
Description: partial 16S ribosomal RNA
Rfam family: Bacterial small subunit ribosomal RNA
Source: RNAcentral